UCUUCUCUAUAUAUACCUCGUCCCGCUCUGCUGGUAUCGGUCAUAGCUUGUUUUUCGUCCUGUUCUUUCUUUUGAAUUACGGUUUCGUAAAGGAGGAGGAGGAGGAGAUCGAAGGGGAGGCCGCUUUGUUUAGGAUGCCGAGGAGAUCUCCAUCUCCGUCGGCAUCAAGGCUGAUCUACUCCACCGCCGAUAUUUGAGAAUGAGAAGGCCAUAAUGAUGACAGGACAUUCACAAACAAAAGAGCAAAAACCAUGAACUAGUAGGUUGAUGGUUUAGAUCUAUAAUUGUGAAUGUUGCUUGAGGGGAAGUCUCUCGUGGGGGAUAAGGUUCUCCUUGAGAACGAG
Molecule: long non-coding RNA, 344 nt
Organism: Phalaenopsis equestris
Lineage: Eukaryota; Viridiplantae; Streptophyta; Magnoliopsida; Asparagales; Orchidaceae
Exons: 3
Source: RefSeq, a predicted model, not a curated record